RNAcentral lists this ribosomal RNA (254 nucleotides) under uncultured bacterium. RNAcentral's name for it is "partial 16S ribosomal RNA". It matches the Rfam family "Bacterial small subunit ribosomal RNA", at positions 524 to 776 of the family's 1533-position model. The record is from RNAcentral.
GACGUAGGGCGCGAGCGUUGUCCGGAUUUAUUGGGCGUAAAGAGCUCGUAGGCGGCUUGUCGCGUCGUCCGUGAAAACCUGCAGCUCAACUGUGGGCUUGCGGUCGAUACGGGCAUCACUGGAGUUCGGCAGGGGAGACUGGAAUUCCUGGUGUAGCGGUGAAAUGCGCAGAUAUCAGGAGGAACACCGGUGGCGAAGGCGGGUCUCUGGGCCGAUACUGACGCUGAGGAGCGAAAGCGUGGGGAGCGAACAGG